This is a non-coding RNA of Pelobates cultripes (western spadefoot toad), 377 nucleotides long. NCBI's taxonomy places the organism in Eukaryota, Metazoa, Chordata, Amphibia, Anura, Pelobatidae. The record is from the annotation of a GenBank genome assembly.
GGCCCAGAGUAUCAUGAGUUACCACUAUGCUUAACUGAAGACAAAGUGUUCUUUUUAGAGUAUGGUUCAUUCUUCUUCGUCCAGACAAACCACUUACCCAUUGGGCUGAAAAGUUCCAUUUAUGUUUUAUCACUUUGUUGUAGAAUUAUUAGGCCUCUAUAAAUCUGUAAGGCCCCUUUAAAUCCUCUUGCUAUACCUCUAAGAGGCCCCCAUAGUUUUACAAGAAAGCUCUGUCUAUAGAACAUAGAAUUUGCAUGCCAGCAAGAAAUAGCUUUGAUAAAAUGUGUAUUUACUAAAAGCCUUGAAACCUAACCGUGCCAGCUACACUCUAAAUGGAUGGCUGCCAAAGCACCCCUCCCAUCGAGUGAACACCUCGU